CGGCAACUGACAUGAGCUGAGCAGAGCAAAUAUGGUUGUCAGAGGUUCUGAUUUCUCAACAGUUCUGAUUUCUCUUCACUGGAAGAUUUGAAAGGCUAUCUAGUGAAUCAAUAUCUGAAAAUUCGGCUGUCCAAAAACAUCUGUCACCAUGGAUUGCCCAUACCCUGCAUCAAACUCCAAGCUGUGUUCAGAUGAAGGACAGUUGGCAUCAGUGAACUUUCUUUUUAUCCCUGCUUGCAACCCACUCCUGGUAGUCUGAGCUUGUCUAGGUUCUAAAUACUUUCUUACCUAUAAAUCACUGGACUAGUGUACUAUUCAUCAGGCUCUGGCUGUGCACACAAAUAUACACAUAUACACACACUUCACAGUUCCUGGACAACAUUCUCAAUCCAAUCAAAUGAUUCCUACUCUGAAAAAAAUAAAUCAUUUCUUUGAAAACA
This 440-nucleotide long non-coding RNA is filed under the name Rhinopithecus roxellana (golden snub-nosed monkey). Its description in RNAcentral is "lncRNA (ENSRROG00000045919.1)". The record is from RNAcentral. Lineage: Eukaryota; Metazoa; Chordata; Mammalia; Primates; Cercopithecidae.